This 126-nucleotide small RNA is filed under the name Marmota monax (woodchuck). Lineage: Eukaryota; Metazoa; Chordata; Mammalia; Rodentia; Sciuridae. The record is from RNAcentral.
GCUGGGCAUGGUGGCGCAUGCCUGUAAUCCCAGCAGCUCAGGAGGCUGAGAAAGAGAGAUUGUGAGUUCAAAGUCAGCCUCAGCAAAAAGCAUGGUGCUAGGCAAAUCAGUGAGACCCUGUCUCUA